This 617-nucleotide long non-coding RNA is filed under the name Helianthus annuus (common sunflower). Its description in RNAcentral is "hypothetical non coding rna". Lineage: Eukaryota; Viridiplantae; Streptophyta; Magnoliopsida; Asterales; Asteraceae. The record is from RNAcentral.
CCCACCUCCGUCGCUCCUCCACUCCAGUCUUUCUUGAAUUUCUCUCAAACCCAUCAAAAAUUUUCAAACUUGUUGAUGGGUUUGAUUGCAAAAGUCGACUUUAUGCCAUAGAACGAGGUUGAUUUGAAGCAUCUGAUGUUGGUAUUAGCAUAGAUCUUCAUGUCGAUAAAAAUUGAAGCCUUGGUGUAGGGAUGUUCUUUGGGUUAGUUAAACUGGUUUUAGAAAUUUCAAAGCAAACCUAAUAAGAUCACUAGCUGAGUGGAUUUAGUUUUGGCGGUUAUUGUAACUUUCUGCAAGCCCACAUCAUUUUUUCUCAAGAAGCUCGAGUUGAUGGAAACAUGCUUACAAGCUCUCUUAAAUGUCUUUUGCAAGUAUGGUGUAUUAUAGCCAUCAUGUGAAGAGUGGAAGGCACUAUAUCACAAAAGGUGAAAGAUGGAGGUGGUCGGUUGUUUCUUAAGGCCAUGGGAUCUUGUUCGCAAUUCAUGAAAACCUAAGGGAGUAUCCGGGCAAUUAACUCAUAAAUGUUCUUAUAACUAUAUAAAUCGUAAUUGAUUCUACGCGUUGUAAAAUUCUUUAUGUUUAUAUCUUAAUAUUGUUGGAUUUACCAUCCUCUUUAG